CAGCCGCCACGGGAAUACGUAGGGUGCAAGCGUUAAUCGGAAUUACUGGGCGUAAAGCGUGCGCAGGCGGUUUGUUAAGACAGAUGUGAAAUCCCCGGGCUCAACCUGGGAACUGCAUUUGUGACUGGCAAGCUAGAGUCUGGCAGAGGGGGGUGGAAUUCCGCGUGUAGCAGUGAAAUGCGUAGAUAUGCGGAGGAACACCGAUGGCGAAGGCAGCCCCCUGGGCCAACACUGACGCUCAUGCACGAAAGCGUGGGGAGCAAACAGGAUUAGAGACCCCCGUAGUCCCUGUCUCUUAUAC
This 301-nucleotide ribosomal RNA is filed under the name uncultured bacterium. RNAcentral describes it as "partial 16S ribosomal RNA". It matches the Rfam family "Bacterial small subunit ribosomal RNA", at positions 509 to 807 of the family's 1533-position model. The record is from RNAcentral.